This 830-nucleotide ribosomal RNA is filed under the name uncultured bacterium. RNAcentral's name for it is "bacterial SSU rRNA". It matches the Rfam family "Bacterial small subunit ribosomal RNA", at positions 8 to 828 of the family's 1533-position model. The record is from RNAcentral.
AGAGUUUGAUCCUGGCUCAGGACGAACGCUGGCGGCGUGCCUAACACAUGCAAGUUGAGCGAGGAGAUUCCCUUCGGGGAUGAACCUAGCGGCGGACGGGUGAGUAACACGUGGGCAACCUGCCUUAUAGAGGGGAAUAGCCUUCCGAAAGGAAGAUUAAUACCGCAUAACAUUACAUUUUCGCAUGAAGAAGUAAUUAAAGGAGUAAUCCGCUAUAAGAUGGGCCCGCGGCGCAUUAGCUAGUUGGUGAGGUAACGGCUCACCAAGGCGACGAUGCGUAGCCGACCUGAGAGGGUGAUCGGCCACAUUGGGACUGAGACACGGCCCAAACUCCUACGGGAGGCAGCAGUGGGGAAUAUUCCGCAAUGGACGAAAGUCUGACGGAGCAACGCCGCGUGAGUGAUGAAGGUUUUCGGACUGUAAAGCUCUGUUGUUUGGGACGAAAGUGCCUGUUGCGAACAGUUACGGGUAUUGACGGUACUAAACGAGGAAGCCACGGCUAACUACGUGCCAGCAGCCGCGGUAAUACGUAGGUGGCAAGCGUUGUCCGGAAUUAUUGGGCGUAAAGAGCAUGUAGGCGGGAAUCUAAGUCUGUUGUUAAAAUGCGGGGCUCAACCCCGUAUUGCGAUGGAAACUGGGUUUCUUGAGUGCAGGAGAGGAAAGGGGAAUUCCCAGUGUAGCGGUGAAAUGCGUAGAUAUUGGAAGGAACACCAGUGGCGAAGGCGGCCUACUGGGCACUAACUGACGCUGAAGGCUCGAAGCAUGGGUAGCAAACAGGAUUAGAUACCCUGGUAGUCCAUGCCGUAAACGAUGAUUACUAGGUGGUGGGG